GGCCAUGUUGGUUAACAGAUCCUCAUCUGCUGGACGUCUGGCGAUGAUCUUUAUCGGUUGUCGUCAGUUGCCAGCACGUUUACUUUGAGAAAAUUAGAGUGCUAAAAGCAGGCUCACGCCUAUAUAUAUUGCAUGGAAUAAUGAAAUAAGAUCUCGAUUUUAUUUCGUUGGUUUUAGAAAUUGAGAUAAUGAUUAAUAGGAUCAGAGGGGGGCGUACGUACUGUGGUGUGAGAGGUGAAAUUCUUGGAUCGCCACAGGACGAACAGCAGCGAAGGCGUUCGCCAAGAAUGUUUUCAUUAAUCAAGAACGAAAGUUUGAGGUUCGAAGACGAUUAGAUACCGUCCUAGUUCAAACCAUAAACGUUGCCAACUGUCUUUUAGAUGCGGUUAUUUAUAUGACUCAUCUGGCGGAUCUCGAGAAAUCUAAGUUUUUAGGUUUCGGGGGAAGUAUGGUUGCAAAGCUGAAACUUAAAAGAAUUGACGGAAGGACACACAAGAAGUGGAGCCUGUGGCCUAAUUUGACUCAACACGGGAAACCUUACUCGGCCAGGACACUUUUAGGAUUGACAGAUUGAGAGCUCUUUCUUGAUUAGGUGGGUGGUGGUGCAUGGUCGUUCGUAGUUCGUGGAGCGAUUUGUCUGAUUAAUUUCGAUAACGAACGAGACUCCGGCUUACUAAAUAGUCUAAAGUUCGAAGGGACUUUUCAAGACUUCUUAGCAGGAUAAGUGG
This 728-nucleotide ribosomal RNA is filed under the name uncultured eukaryote. Its description in RNAcentral is "SSU rRNA". It matches the Rfam family "Eukaryotic small subunit ribosomal RNA", at positions 674 to 1426 of the family's 1831-position model. The record is from RNAcentral.